GAUUGAACGCUGGCGGCAGGCCUAACACAUGCAAGUCGAACGGUAACAGGAAGAAGCUUGCUUCUUUGCUGACGAGUGGCGGACGGGUGAGUAAUGUCUGGGAAACUGCCUGAUGGAGGGGGAUAACUACUGGAAACGGUAGCUAAUACCGCAUAAUGUCGCAAGACCAAAGAGGGGGACCUUCGGGCCUCUUGCCAUCGGAUGUGCCCAGAUGGGAUUAGCUUGUUGGUGGGGUAACGGCUCACCAAGGCGACGAUCCCUAGCUGGUCUGAGAGGAUGACCAGCCACACUGGAACUGAGACACGGUCCAGACUCCUACGGGAGGCAGCAGUGGGGAAUAUUGCACAAUGGGCGCAAGCCUGAUGCAGCCAUGCCGCGUGUAUGAAGAAGGCCUUCGGGUUGUAAAGUACUUUCAGCGGGGAGGAAGGGAGUAAAGUUAAUACCUUUGCUCAUUGACGUUACCCGCAGAAGAAGCACCGGCUA
Molecule: ribosomal RNA, 483 nt
Filed under: uncultured Escherichia sp.
Lineage: Bacteria; Pseudomonadati; Pseudomonadota; Gammaproteobacteria; Enterobacterales; Enterobacteriaceae
Description: bacterial SSU rRNA
Rfam family: Bacterial small subunit ribosomal RNA
Source: RNAcentral